UACGUAGGUGGCAAGCGUUGUCCGGAAUUAUUGGGCGUAAAGCGCGCGCAGGUGGUUUCUUAAGUCUGAUGUGAAAGCCCACGGCUCAACCGUGGAGGGUCAUUGGAAACUGGGGAACUUGAGUGCAGAAGAGGAAAGUGGAAUUCCAAGUGUAGCGGUGAAAUGCGUAGAGAUUUGGAGGAACACCAGUGGCGAAAGCGACUUUCUGGUCUGUAACUGACACUGAGGCGCGAAAUCGUGGGGAGCAAACAGG
RNAcentral lists this ribosomal RNA (253 nucleotides) under uncultured bacterium. RNAcentral describes it as "partial 16S ribosomal RNA". It matches the Rfam family "Bacterial small subunit ribosomal RNA", at positions 524 to 776 of the family's 1533-position model. The record is from RNAcentral.